Molecule: ribosomal RNA, 411 nt
Filed under: uncultured microorganism
Description: bacterial SSU rRNA
Rfam family: Bacterial small subunit ribosomal RNA
Source: RNAcentral
GAGUUUGAUCGUGGCUCAGAUUGAACGCUGGCGGCAUGCCUUACACAUGCAAGUCGAACGGCAGCAUGAUCUAGCUUGCUAGAUUGAUGGCGAGUGGCGAACGGGUGAGUAAUACAUCGGAACGUGCCCUGUAGUGGGGAUAACUAGUCGAAAGAUUAGCUAAUACCGCAUACGACCUGAGGGUGAAAGUGGGGACCGCAAGGCCUCAUGCUAUAGGAGCGGCCGAUGUCUGAUUAGCUAGUUGGUGGGGUAAAGGCCCGACCAAGGCGACGAUCAGUAGCUGGUCUGAGAGGACGAUCAGCCACACUGGGACUGAGACACGGUCCAGACUCCUACGGGAGGCAGCAGGUGGGAAUUUUGGACAAUGGGCGAAAGCCUGAUCCAGCAAUGCCGCGUGUGUGAAGAAGGCCU